AUGUGGUGUAGAAAUCCCCUCUCCGUGGCCUUGGACCUCAGCAGCUCCCUGCUGCAGCUCGUCACCCUGCCUCUGGCUAACGAACUCCCGCAAAACUCCACGUCCUCACCAAGAAACGAGGUGUCACAUGCAGACCAGUGGAGCAUGUUGUCCUCUGCUUGCUGGCCGCCGCUGUGUCUCCCUUGUUCGUUUUGGUCCAACUAACCCCAGGCGGGAAGCCAGCUGCUUCAGCCAGGGGAAAUGCAGGUAAGUGAAAAGGCUGAAGCAGGGAGCAGUGCUAUAAUUAACUGGCCGUAUUAGGCAUUUUACAAUUCUGACACCUCACAAGACUGGAAGUUUAAUGAGAAUGGAGAGAGGCUCAAAAGCAAUCCAUUUUCCUGGUAAAGAUUGUAAUGAAGGUGUGAAAUGAUGCACAGCUAACUAAACUUGUCUGUAAUAGCCUCUCUGUUAUAAUGUAGUGUUCUGACAGACUUUAGAAAAAACAAUACAGUGCACAUACAUAUAUAUAUAUAUAUAUAUAUUCCUUUCCUUACAGUGCUAAUGUAAAACAAAGUUUGGCCUCAUGUGGAUGUGCCAUGUGUAGGUCAGGUGCCAAAGUGUGUGAAGAACUCAUCUAUGAAACAAAAUACUUAUUUGCCAUGUGAAAAGCAGGACGACAACAGAAACACUGUAGAAACAUGCCCCGGAAAGGAAGCUCACGUGGAGCCGUGGGUGCCAAAGCCAGAGCCAGCUCUGAAAUGGCACCAAGUAGCGCUCUGCUGGCCGUGGACCCAGGGCAGCCCAUUUGCCGCAUCUGUCAUAGAAAGCGGAUGAAUUCCCUGCAGAUCUGCCAAGGGAAGGCAGGGAAUUAGCAUAAAGGCAUUUGCUCAGUGUUUGCUUCGGAAGAUGCUGUGUCUCUGGUUAUUAAUUUAUAAUUCAGCAGUAGCAGCUGUAAACAGAGUGUACCUUGCACAGUGAAACCCUGUAGUCUGUCACUGCGAUUGCAGCUC
RNAcentral lists this long non-coding RNA (989 nucleotides) under Struthio camelus australis. Its description in RNAcentral is "lncRNA (ENSSCUG00000008783.1)". Lineage: Eukaryota; Metazoa; Chordata; Aves; Struthioniformes; Struthionidae. The record is from RNAcentral.